CCUACGGGCGGCAGCAGUGGGGAAUAUUGCACAAUGGGGGAAACCCUGAUGCAGCAAAGCCGCGUGAGUGAAGAAGUAUUUCGGUACGUAAAGCUCUAUCAGCAGGGAAGAAAAUGACGGUACCUGACUAAGAAGCCCCGGCUAACUACGUGCCAGCAGCCGCGGUAAUACGUAGGGGGCAAGCGUUAUCCGGAUUUACUGGGUGUAAAGGGAGCGUAGACGGCAGCGCAAGUCUGGAGUGAAAUCCCAUGGCUUAACCAUGGAACUGCUUUGGAAACUGUGCAGCUAGAGUGCAGGAGAGGUAAGCGGAAUUCCUAGUGUAGCGGUGAAAUGCGUAGAUAUUAGGAGGAACACCAGUGGCGAAGGCGGCUUACUGGACUGUAACUGACGUUGAGGCUCGAAAGCGUGGGGAGCAAACAGGAUUAGAUACCCUUGUAGUC
This 440-nucleotide ribosomal RNA is filed under the name uncultured bacterium. RNAcentral describes it as "partial 16S ribosomal RNA". It matches the Rfam family "Bacterial small subunit ribosomal RNA", at positions 338 to 795 of the family's 1533-position model. The record is from RNAcentral.